GGCUCAGGAUGAACGCUGGCGGCGUGCCUAACACAUGCAAGUCGAACGGGACUAUCAAGUGAUGUUUCGGACUGAACUUUUAGUUAGUGGCGGACGGGUGAGUAACGCGUGGACAACCUGCCUCUCACUGGGGGAUAGCAGCUGGAAACGGCUGGUAAUACCGCAUACGUUCAAUGUGCCGCAUGACACAUUGAAGAAAGAUUUAUCGGUGAGAGAUGGGUCCGCGUCUGAUUAGCCAGUUGGCGGGGUAACGGCCCACCAAAGCGACGAUCAGUAGCCGGCCUGAGAGGGCGGACGGCCACAUUGGGACUGAGACACGGCCCAGACUCCUACGGGAGGCAGCAGUGGGGGAUAUUGCACAAUGGGCGCAAGCCUGAUGCAGCGACGCCGCCGUGAGUGAAGAAGUAUUUCGGUAUGUAAAGCUCUAUCAGCAGGGAAGAAAGGCCCGCAAGGGAGAUGACGGUACCUGACUAAGAAGCCCCGGCUAACUACGUGCCAGCCGCCGC
Molecule: ribosomal RNA, 506 nt
Filed under: uncultured bacterium
Lineage: Bacteria
Description: bacterial SSU rRNA
Rfam family: Bacterial small subunit ribosomal RNA
Source: RNAcentral